RNAcentral lists this unclassified non-coding RNA (298 nucleotides) under uncultured Ascomycota. RNAcentral describes it as "sequence contains ITS1". The stretch from base 1 to 105 matches the Rfam family "5.8S ribosomal RNA", at positions 50 to 154 of the family's 154-position model. Lineage: Eukaryota; Fungi; Ascomycota. The record is from RNAcentral.
GAAAUGCGAUAAGUAAUGUGAAUUGCAGAAUUCAGUGAAUCAUCGAAUUUUUGAACGCAUAUUGCGCCCUUUGGCAUUCCGAAGGGCAUACCUGUUCGAGCGUCAUUACACCCCUCAAACCUCGGUUUGAUGUUGGGCACUGCCUAGCGGUGGCAUGCCUAAAAUUCAGUGAUGGUUGCUUAACCGGCCACAGGCGCACAAGUGUCGCAAUGUGAAAAGUUAGGCACCAGACCCCCGUAUCGUAGAUACAAUUCUGAAUGUUGACCUCGGAUCAGGUAGGGAUACCCGCUGAACUUAA